UCGGGAGACAGCCUCGCGAGAGGGCCUCGCAAGGCCCUUGGUAGCGCGUUCUGACGUGUGCCUUGCUCGCGAAGUCCAAUGGUGGGCCAUGCGCUGGGCCCAAGAUAUGUGCCGCGUAUUGGGCCGCAGGCAGAUGGGCCCAGCGCCGAGCAUGCGUGAACUACCCUACGGUCCCCUCACAGUUUUUUGAACCUGGUUAGAGAAGAUGCUGAGAUCUUGCUUUGUGUUAUGUACUGUCUUCCACCUAACCUCUGGAAAGAAAAACACCAUAGUAAUUGCUUAGGAAACCCCUUUACAGAGAACCCUAAUAAAGUAGCGUAGCUGCUCAGGGAAAUAUAAACUUGCAGGUUGAAUUUGGAAGAGUUGUUCCUAAAUCCCCACGGUGAAGUUCAAAACUUGCCUACAUCCCUGGGAGAAAGUGAUGAAUGGGAAGAAUAGUUGCGUACAAAACUAGGGAAAAAUUUCCUUCAUCUUGAAGUUCCUCCGCCAAUGUAAGUUAAAUGGACUAUAUACUGAAGUUUUGUUCGAAAAGCAAAAGGCAAAAUGGUGUAUGCUGUUAAAAAAUUGAGUGUACUGAACUUGAACAGAAAAAAAGAAGUUGCCUAUAUGAAUUCAGAGUAAUAGUUCCCUCAGCCAUUACCUUAACUAUGAUCCUACAAGAAAAAAAAUCAGAGACGUUUUUAACAGCAAACAUGAUAGAUCAACUUUUUGACUGAACUUUAACUGAAAAAUUAACAUCACUGUGCUGAGAAAAGAAAACAGCAGGGAUUUUCCUGAAAAAACACAUUGUCCUGCCUGGAGAAAAAAUAUCAUAUUGCCUAUAAAAAAUGGCAGGUUCUCUGUGUAUUAUCAUACACAAAACCUGAUUCGUGUCUGUUGCCUACCACCCAAAAAUCAAACGGCUAUGAGCUCUGCGCCUAACCCCCACCCUCGCCAUGACUACGCUUGUGCACCUUUAAAAAUCCCGUCCCUUGAUAAAAAACGACCGGUGCGAAUUUGUGCGCAGGAGGCAAGCCUACGACCUCUAUCAGUCGAUUGACUGCCUGGAUUUGUGUUUGACAGAAAAAAUCCUCCAAAAUCCGGCAACCCCUCGACCAUCUUCACCCCCUUCACUCUCCCCCUUUGACACCCCAUGGACGUCGACGACGCGUCGACGCAAAAUCUACCCGUGUUCGCCCUGAGAAAACCGAGACAAAAUAUGAGGCAUGGCUGCGGCGGUGACUCACCUUCUAACGGAGACGUUCGCCGCCACGCGCCACCGAGAGCUUCCCCUCCUAUUCCUCGCGUGCGUGGUCGCUCGGGUGGAAUGCUGGUGCUUCGGCUGUUGACACGCUGCCCCUCUGCGGAGGUCCGCGACGGUCCGCACUCCCGUUCCCCUUGGCCGUCGCGGCCCCCGACUGCCCGCCGGCGACGCUCGCAGCUAAAAACCUAGGGGAUUCCCUCCCCUUCGUCGCCGCGCGGAUUGAGAGGCGGAAAGGGAGAAGCUAGUGGACCGAGGGGAUCGG
RNAcentral lists this long non-coding RNA (1505 nucleotides) under Triticum aestivum (bread wheat). Its description in RNAcentral is "long non-coding RNA (TAES_LNC000338)". Lineage: Eukaryota; Viridiplantae; Streptophyta; Magnoliopsida; Poales; Poaceae. The record is from RNAcentral.